Molecule: ribosomal RNA, 488 nt
Filed under: uncultured bacterium
Lineage: Bacteria
Description: bacterial SSU rRNA
Rfam family: Bacterial small subunit ribosomal RNA
Source: RNAcentral
UUGGUCAGGACGAACGCUGGCGGCGUGCCUAACACAUGCAAGUCGAACGGACUGAUUCCCUUCGGGGAUGAAAGUUAGUGGCGGACGGGUGAGUAACGCGUGAGCAACCUGCCUUUCAGAGGGGAAUAACGUUUGGAAACAGACGCUAAUACCGCAUAACGCAUAGGUGUCGCAUGGCAUUUAUGCCAAAGGAGCGAUCCGCUGAAAGAUGGGCUCGCGUCCGAUUAGAUAGUUGGUGGGGUAACGGCCUACCAAGUCGACGAUCGGUAGCCGGACUGAGAGGUUGAACGGCCACAUUGGGACUGAGACACGGCCCAGACUCCUACGGGAGGCAGCAGUGGGGGAUAUUGCACAAUGGGCGGAAGCCUGAUUGCAGCAACGCCGCGUGAGGGAAGACGGUUUUCGGAUUGGUAAACCUCUGUCUUUGGUGACGAAGAAAUGACGGUAGCCGAGGAGGAAGCCACGGCUAACUACGUGCCAGCCGCAGC